ACAUGACAGGAACUUGGGUCUCUGGUCACAUGAACUUACAAAUAUUGUGUAACCGUCCGCGCCAGCUCAGGCAUUCCCCAUUAGAACCCUCUGCUGCGUGACCGGCCUCCCGAGAAUCUACAAAAUUGGCUCUAACUUGGACGCGCUGGCCAGUAAUUUCUGUGCGUUUUUUUCCCCAGGGCAUCUCGUAAAUUCCUGGAUACCGAGGACGGGCGAAGGAGGAGAACAAGAAGAAGAAGAAGAAGGGAAGUCAGUUGUGAGCCGUCGGACUUGAGGACUGCUGCUCUCCUCUGCGCGCGAAGAAGUACUCCCCGUCCGAGUACCACAGAAUGGCCAGUGCGACGUGCUGCCUCUGGACCCUGGUGUGGCUGCUGAUCCUGCUGUUCAUCGGCUGGCCCCUGAGCAUCUUCCUGGGGGGUCUGUACGGCCUGAUCAGCCCCCUGACCACCUGCGUCGGCCUGGACCGCCUCUCCGACCUGCUGCUGGAGGGCGCCAACGUGGGACGCACCUGUGCCCUGAACAUGCGGCACGCCAAGCCCCUGUGCUGAGACCCCGCCCCCUUAAACCCUGCCCCCUUCACCGCUACAAUGGGCAGGGAAUAAAGACAUGAGAUAAGUUUUGUGAUCACGUGGUGCUAGUGUUUUUAUGGAAGCGAAUCGACGAACGGCGAGCUCAAUCUUAACGUCAUUACUUCAUGUCCGGUUGUAUCUAUGUUUGGUUUUUGCUCACACAUUAAUCUCACAUUAAAAUUAAUAAAUACUUAGGAAAAAUGUGGUUGAGUGUGACAUGUUUUAUACUUAACAAACUUGUGCUUAGAAAGAUUUUGUCUCAAUGUUAAUGCAAAUUUUAAGUUAUAACAGAUAUUAAAACGACACCUACGUCUAAAAACAAUCAACUAAUUUGUACUUUUAGUCUUUACAGUUAAAACAACUCACUUUUUUCACUAAAACAUUGUUAAUAUUACAUUUACGGUUUCAUUAACAAAUCCUGCAAGGUUUUUUCUUUUUUUUUUAUUCAAUUGUGGUGAAGUUAUUAUUUUACUUCCUGGCUGCAGACACGACAUUUGCAGAGAUGGUUCCGUAACUGUUCCCUAGCAACCAUAAUGUAAACAAGGACCAAAACUUGUCCAAAUAACACAGUAUGAUAUGAUUUGACAAAUAAAGAUGGAUGGAAACACUU
Long non-coding RNA from Boleophthalmus pectinirostris (great blue-spotted mudskipper), 1179 nucleotides. RefSeq lists it as uncharacterized. The record is from RefSeq and is a predicted model, not a curated record. NCBI's taxonomy places the organism in Eukaryota, Metazoa, Chordata, Actinopteri, Gobiiformes, Gobiidae. The transcript has 2 exons.